GAUGAACGCUGGCGGCGUGCCUAAUACAUGCAAGUCGAGCGAACAGACGAGGAGCUUGCUCCUCUGACGUUAGCGGCGGACGGGUGAGUAACACGUGGAUAACCUACCUAUAAGACUGGGAUAACUUCGGGAAACCGGAGCUAAUACCGGAUAAUAUAUUGAACCGCAUGGUUCAAUAGUGAAAGACGGUUUUGCUGUCUCUUAUAGAUGGAUCCACGCCGCAUUAGCUAGUUGGUAAGGUAACGGCUUACCAAGGCAACGAUGCGUAGCCGACCUGAGAGGGUGAUCGGCCACACUGGACCUGAGACGCGGUCCAGACUACUACGCGAGGCAGCAGUAGGGUAUGGUCCGCAGUGGGCGGAAGCCUGACGGAGCAGCGCCGCGUGAGAUGUGAAGGUCUUGCGAGCGUAAAACUGUCUUAUGAGGGAAGAACAAAUGUGUAAGUAACUAUAGACGGCUUGACGGUACCUGGUCAGAAAGCCACGGCUAACUACGUG
RNAcentral lists this ribosomal RNA (497 nucleotides) under uncultured bacterium. RNAcentral describes it as "partial 16S ribosomal RNA". It matches the Rfam family "Bacterial small subunit ribosomal RNA", at positions 28 to 507 of the family's 1533-position model. The record is from RNAcentral.